GCAGUGGGGAAUAUUGCGCAAUGGGGGCAACCCUGACGCAGCGACGCCGCGUGAGCGAUGACGGCCUUCGGGUUGUAAAGCUCUGUCAAGGGGGAAGAUAGUGACGGUACCCCUGGAGGAAGCCCCGGCUAACUACGUGCCAGCAGCCGCGGUAAAACGUAGGGGGCGAGCGUUGUCCGGAAUUACUGGGCGUAAAGGGCGUGUAGGCGGUGAGGAAAGUCAGCUGUGAAAACCCAGGGCUUAACCCUGGAACUGCAGUUGAAACUUCCUGACUUGAGUGCAGGAGAGGAGAGUGGAAUUCCCGGUGUAGCGGUGACAUGCGUAGAUAUCGGGAGGAACACCAGUGGCGAAGGCGACUCUCUGGCCUGUAACUGACGCUGAGGCGCGAAAGCGUGGGGAGCAAACUAGGAUUAGAUACCCUGGUAGUCCACGCCGUAAACGAUGGGUACUAGGUGUAGGGGGUUUAGAUACCCUUCUGUGCCGCAGUUAACACACU
RNAcentral lists this ribosomal RNA (496 nucleotides) under Syntrophobacteraceae bacterium enrichment culture. RNAcentral describes it as "bacterial SSU rRNA". It matches the Rfam family "Bacterial small subunit ribosomal RNA", at positions 351 to 861 of the family's 1533-position model. The record is from RNAcentral. Lineage: Bacteria; Pseudomonadati; Thermodesulfobacteriota; Syntrophobacteria; Syntrophobacterales; Syntrophobacteraceae.